AUACGUAGGUGACAAGCGUUAUCCGGAUUUACUGGGCGUAAAGGGCGUGUAGGCGGUCUUGCAAGUCAGAAGUGAAAUUCCUGAGCUCAACUCGGGCGCUGCUUCUGAAACUGCAGGACUUGAGUGCUGGAGGGGAUAGCGGAAUUCCUAGUGGAGCGGUAAAAUGCGCAGAUAUUAGUAAGAACACCGGUGGCGAAGGCGGCAAUCUGGACAGUAACUGACGCUGAGGCGCGAAAGCGUGGGGAGCAAACAGGAUUAGAUCCCCUGGUAGUCCACGCCGUAAACGAUGAAUACUAGGUGUAGGGGGUAUCGACUCCCUCUGUGCCGCAGUUAACACAAUAAGUAUUCCGCCUGGGGAGUACGGCCGCAAGGUUGAAACUCAAAUGAAUUGACGGGG
This 397-nucleotide ribosomal RNA is filed under the name uncultured bacterium. Its description in RNAcentral is "partial 16S ribosomal RNA". It matches the Rfam family "Bacterial small subunit ribosomal RNA", at positions 523 to 918 of the family's 1533-position model. The record is from RNAcentral.